CCUACGGGGUGCAGCAGUGAGGAAUAUUGGUCAAUGGACGAGAGUCUGAACCAGCCAAGUAGCGUGAAGGAUGACUGCCCUAUGGGUUGUAAACUUCUUUUAUAUGGGAAUAAAAUGUUCCACGUGUGGGAUUUUGUAUGUACCAUAUGAAUAAGGAUCGGCUAACUCCGUGCCAGCAGCCGCGGUAAUACGGAGGAUCCGAGCGUUAUCCGGAUUUAUUGGGUUUAAAGGGAGCGUAGGUGGAUUGUUAAGUCAGUUGGGAAAGUUUGCGGCUCAACCGUAAAAUUGCAGUUGAAACUGGCAGUCGUGAGUACAGGAGAGGUGGGCGGAAUUCGUGGUGUAGCGGUGAAAUGCGUAGAUAUCACGAAGAACACCGAUUGCGAAGGCAGAUCACUGGACUGCAACUGACACUGAGGCUCGAAAGUGUGGGGAGCAAACAGGAUUAGAUACCCGAGUAGUC
This 460-nucleotide ribosomal RNA is filed under the name uncultured bacterium. RNAcentral's name for it is "partial 16S ribosomal RNA". It matches the Rfam family "Bacterial small subunit ribosomal RNA", at positions 338 to 795 of the family's 1533-position model. The record is from RNAcentral.